UGGGGAAUAUUGCACAAUGGAGGGAACUCUGAUGCAGCGACGCCGCGUGAACGAAGAAGGCUUUCGAGUCGUAAAGUUCUUUUAUAUGGGAAGAUAAUGACGGUACCAUAAGAAAAAGCCCCGGCUAACUACGUGCCAGCAGCCGCGGUAAUACGUAGGGGGCUAGCGUUGUCCGGAAUCACUGGGCGUAAAGGGUUCGCAGGCGGAAAUGCAAGUCAGGUGUAAAAGGCAGUAGCUUAACUACUGUAAGCAUUUGAAACUGCAUAUCUUGAGAAGAGUAGAGGUAAGUGGAAUUUUUAGUGUAGCGGUGAAAUGCGUAGAUAUUAAAGAGAAUACCGGUGGCGAAGGCGACUUACUGGGCUCAUUCUGACGCUGAGGAACGAAAGCGUGGGUAGCAAACAGG
RNAcentral lists this ribosomal RNA (403 nucleotides) under bacterium. RNAcentral describes it as "partial 16S ribosomal RNA". It matches the Rfam family "Bacterial small subunit ribosomal RNA", at positions 355 to 776 of the family's 1533-position model. RNAcentral also lists the same sequence under 1 other name. The record is from RNAcentral.